GUCUAUAGCCAAGUGGCUAAGGCAAAGGACUGCAACUCCUUGAUGCGUUGGUUCAAAUCCGACUAGGC
Molecule: transfer RNA, 68 nt
Filed under: chicken gut metagenome
Rfam family: tRNA
About the family: Transfer RNA (tRNA) molecules are approximately 80 nucleotides in length.
Source: RNAcentral